This is a non-coding RNA of Ictidomys tridecemlineatus (thirteen-lined ground squirrel), 71 nucleotides long. The record is from Rfam. NCBI's taxonomy places the organism in Eukaryota, Metazoa, Chordata, Mammalia, Rodentia, Sciuridae.
GUGGUUGUAGCUCAGUGGAAGAGCACUUGCCUGGCACGUGUGAGGCUCUGGGUUCAAUCCUCAGCACCAUA